UGGUGCAUGGUUGUCGUCAGCUCGUUGUCGUGAGAUGUUGGUUAAGUCCCGCAACGAGCGCAACCCUUGUCUUUAGUUACCAUCAUUCAGUUGGGGGACUCUAGAGAGACUGCCGGUGAUAAACCGGAGGAAGGUGGGGAUGACGUCAAAUCAUCAUGCCCCUUAUGGCCUGGGCUACAAACGUAAUACAAUGGCGUAUACAAAGGGAUGCGAAAGGGCGACCUGGAGCAAAACUCACAAAGUACGUCUCAGUUCAGAUUGGAGUCUGCAACUCGACUCCAUGAAGGCGGAAUCGCUAGUAAUCGCGGAUCAGCAUGCCGCGGUGAAUACGUUCUCGGGGUUU
This 343-nucleotide ribosomal RNA is filed under the name uncultured Erysipelothrix sp. RNAcentral's name for it is "bacterial SSU rRNA". It matches the Rfam family "Bacterial small subunit ribosomal RNA", at positions 1039 to 1382 of the family's 1533-position model. The record is from RNAcentral. Lineage: Bacteria; Bacillati; Bacillota; Erysipelotrichia; Erysipelotrichales; Erysipelotrichaceae.